GACGAACGCUGGCGGCGUGCCUAAUACAUGCAAGUUGAGCGCUGAAGGUUGGUACUUGUACCAACUGGAUGAGCAGCGAACGGGUGAGUAACGCGUGGGGAAUCUGCCUUUGAGCGGGGGACAACAUUUGGAAACGAAUGCUAAUACCGCAUAAAAACUUUAAACACAAGUUUUAAGUUUGAAAGAUGCAAUUGCAUCACUCAAAGAUGAUCCCGCGUUGUAUUAGCUAGUUGGUGAGGUAAAGGCUCACCAAGGCGAUGAUACAUAGCCGACCUGAGAGGGUGAUCGGCCACAAUGGGACUGAGACACGGCCCAAACUCCUAAGGGAGGCAGCAGUAGGGAAUCUUCGGCAAUGGACGAAAGUCUGACCGAGCAACGCCGCGUGAGUGAAGAAGGUUUUCGGAUCGUAAAACUCUGUUGGUAGAGAAGAACGUUGGUGAGAGUGGAAAGCUCAUCAAGUGACGGUAACUACCCAGAAAGGGACGGCUAACUACGUG
RNAcentral lists this ribosomal RNA (497 nucleotides) under uncultured bacterium. Its description in RNAcentral is "partial 16S ribosomal RNA". It matches the Rfam family "Bacterial small subunit ribosomal RNA", at positions 28 to 507 of the family's 1533-position model. The record is from RNAcentral.